CGCAUGAGCAAGAGGACAAUAAUUGUCCUCCCGUCAACACAGGGCACAACAGGCUUCCAAAAGGGACAAUUGAUUCGGGCAAAAAGGGACAAAGUCCCCGACCAAUCAUUGCUUCUACAUACAAGACUUCGGAGCAACACUUGGGCGUCCAAUGUCUGCUAACUAAAUAAGCAAAGCAAGGGUGGACGUCCAUGGGUGCUUCAGGGACUAGUUCGCACAAACAUUUUAGCACGAGUUAGAGCAGGGAUCGUGGGGCUGGAGAAUUCCAUCAAAAUAGGUAUGCUACACAGGGGGCCAAGCCAAUCCAAGGUAAAAGAUUUACACUUGAACAGAAUUGAACAGGUGUGAACCAGCGAUUGUCGCUGCCAGGGCAGGGAACCAACCAACCGGAACAUACC
RNAcentral lists this unclassified non-coding RNA (398 nucleotides) under Tetrataenium lallii. RNAcentral's name for it is "partial external transcribed spacer". The record is from RNAcentral. Lineage: Eukaryota; Viridiplantae; Streptophyta; Magnoliopsida; Apiales; Apiaceae.